GACGAACGCUGGCGGCGUGCUUAACACAUGCAAGUCGAACGGAAAGGCCCUGCUUGCAGGGUACUCGAGUGGCGAACGGGUGAGUAACACGUGGGUGAUCUGCCCUGCACUUCGGGAUAAGCUUGGGAAACUGGGUCUAAUACCGGAUAGGAGCCAUCUUUAGUGUGGUGGUUGGAAAGUUUUUUCGGUGUAGGAUGAGCUCGCGGCCUAUCAGCUUGUUGGUGGGGUAAUGGCCUACCAAGGCGGCGACGGGUAGCCGGCCUGAGAGGGUGUACGGCCACAUUGGGACUGGGAUACGGCCCAGACUCCUACGGGAGGCAGCAGUGGGGAAUAUUGCACAAUGGGCGCAAGCCUGAUGCAGCGACGCCGCGUGGGGGAUGAAGGCCUUCGGGUUGUAAACUCCUUUCGCUAGGGACGAAGCUUUGUUGUGACGGUACCUAGAUAAGAAGCACCGGCUAACUACGUG
Molecule: ribosomal RNA, 466 nt
Filed under: uncultured bacterium
Lineage: Bacteria
Description: partial 16S ribosomal RNA
Rfam family: Bacterial small subunit ribosomal RNA
Source: RNAcentral